RNAcentral lists this long non-coding RNA (850 nucleotides) under Crocodylus porosus (Australian saltwater crocodile). Its description in RNAcentral is "lncRNA (ENSCPRG00005013134.1)". The record is from RNAcentral. Lineage: Eukaryota; Metazoa; Chordata; Crocodylia; Crocodylidae.
AGAGGGAGGAGGCUCUCAGGGCAUUUGUGAUAAUAGCACUCCACUCUACUACUACAAAGUGCUCAGCCAACAUGUAUACUAAAUAGGGCUUAUUCUGUGCAGCUGGGGUUCAGUCACAAAACAAGUGCAAGCAGAAGGCAUCACACAGGUGUGUUUCACAAGCAUGGCUGGACCUUUCACUUGCUGAUCCAAACACCAGUAUCAAAGGAUUAGCAAAACAGAUGCUUCAGAGGAUGACGGCAUCUCCAGGAAAUCCACAUGACACCAAAUUAGCUGCAUCUCAGCAAGAAGGCUAAAACAGGCAGUUGAGUCAGUGAUCUGCGAGCAGAGUGGAGCUAGAUUGUCUGGUGGGAUCUCCAGUCCUGCACCCUUCACCUUAAAGCCGCGAUCGAAAAGAUGAAGCCCCUCCUGUGCCUUCUGUCUUUAAUAACCAUUGAGCCCCUGAGGGGUUUCAAUAUCGACACCAACAGGAAGUGGAUGACAACUCACAGAGACCAUCUUUCUUGGCCCAAGGUCCUUCAGUACUCUGGCCUCAAAGCCUGGAUUUUGGCAACUUCCUCAGAAGUUAACAGCCAAAGCAGGAUGCUUGGCAGGCUGAAUAAGUGCACUCUUGCCAAAGAAGCGAUUGAGUGUAAGGAGAUUGGUCUGAGAGGUACAGUCCAGCUCAUUGUUCUUAAGUAGUUUCUUCAAGUAAAUUUUGAAUAGGAUGGGGGAGGAAGGAAUCUGACAAACACUAGGGUGCAACAUCACCGAGAUGAUGAGAGGGAGGCAGAGAGGGGUUCAUGAUACAUUAGGGUCUCCAGGUUUUCAUGGGGAAAAGAAAUCCAGAUACACGUUAGCAGGGAAAGGG